CAGUCGCCGCGGGAAUACGUAGGGGGCAAGCGCUAUCCGGAUUUACUGGGUGUAAAGGGAGCGCAGACGGCAGUGCAAGUCUGAAGUGAAAGGCGUGGGCUCAACCCAUGAACUGCUUUGGAAACUGUAUAGCUUGAGUGUCGGAGGGGUAAGCGGAAUUCCUAGUGUAGCGGUGAAAUGCGUAGAUAUUAGGAGGAACACCGGAGGCGAAGGCGGCUUACUGGACGACAACUGACGUUGAGGCUCGAAGGCGUGGGGAGCAAACAGGAUUAGAUACCCCUGUAGUCCCUGUCUCUUAUAC
RNAcentral lists this ribosomal RNA (301 nucleotides) under uncultured bacterium. RNAcentral's name for it is "partial 16S ribosomal RNA". It matches the Rfam family "Bacterial small subunit ribosomal RNA", at positions 509 to 807 of the family's 1533-position model. The record is from RNAcentral.